Diachasmimorpha longicaudata is the source of this 1110-nucleotide long non-coding RNA. RefSeq lists it as uncharacterized. Lineage: Eukaryota; Metazoa; Arthropoda; Insecta; Hymenoptera; Braconidae. The transcript has 3 exons. The record is from RefSeq and is a predicted model, not a curated record.
UAUUUCUCAGUAUUCAUUUACCACUUCAUUUUGCGGAACUUUAUCUCCUGAAUCUUACUUUAUGUAUCCCAUUCAUAAUAUAAUCGACGGACAAUUGUAUGCAUCUCUCCAAAUGGACUACAAAGGCAUAAUGCUCCUGUAUCAUCUUCAAACAUACUUCCGGGUCUGCAUAUUUUUCGAGCCUCCGGCUUGGUUCUCACUCUGGCAUUCACAACUAGAAAGGAAAAUAUAGUUAUCAGUGGCCAAACUUUCCACCUAAGAGCCUAUAAAUAGGAGUAAAAUUUGAAAAAAAUCAUAUAUGGUCAGUAUUAUUUAAAUUAUACUUUAGCAGGUAUUGAUAUUUUUAAAAACAAGUCCUUCUUAUAAAGAAAUGAUAAAACUUUUUUUGGUCAUGGUGGAUUAUGUUUUACAAAGUGUUAGAGAAUUUAUUGAUUUUUCCCUAUGUAACUAUAAGGAAAAUGUUGAAUUUCCUUUAAAAACACGAUGUGAAGUUCUGAUUUUGUAAUUUUGUAUUCCAACUCAAACGAAAAUCAAAUUAAGGAAACCCGUCAGAAAAUGUAUCUGAAAAUAUUCAUCUGACUGACAUAUUGUGGAAUUUUUUCCAUUAUUACUAAGUACAUGUAUGGAACGGUUAGUGAGACUUCAUUUUAUCAGAUUCUUCGUUAAAUUUUAGAUGGAUUCAAUGAAUAAUAAUUUAAAAAGCACUAAAAAUAUCAUAUAAUAUUCCAAUAUCGAUAUUGGUAUUUUCUGACUGAUGAACAAUUGAAAUACAAUGUGAUGAUAAAGGAUUAUUCUUUAAAAAAUAGUUUUGUCAAUCAAUAUUUGCUUUUCCAAUAUCACAUUCGUCCUCUCCAGUCGCUACCAAACAUAUUUCACAAGUAAAUAUUUUUACGAAGAUUUGCAUGUGCGUUUUUAUUUACCAUAUUGUUAUUAUUUGUAAUAACUUACCAACAACGGCGAAAAUGAAGAUUAGCAACUUCCAAAAUAUGUCCAUGGUCUUUCAAUAUUUUGUGACUUGUGAUCAACUCCUCGUGAAGGGGCCAAGUGGUACCGAGAAUAUAUGAUUUUUGAUUGACUUUGAAUAAUUCGCACUUGAUUAAACUUAUCAUU